GGGGGCUCUCUGAUGUACGUCACUUGCGCUUCGUCCCUGCUGAAAGAGGUUUACAACCCGAAGGCCGUCAUCCCUCACGCGGCGUUGCUGGAUCAGGCUUUCGCCCAUUGUCCAAUAUUCCCCACUGCUGCCUCCCGUAGGAGUCCCCCCGUGCCCCCGCCCCGCCCGCCGCGCGCGGCGGGCGGGGCG
This 189-nucleotide ribosomal RNA is filed under the name uncultured bacterium. RNAcentral's name for it is "partial 16S ribosomal RNA". The record is from RNAcentral.